AAUUUUUACACAAAGGUUUGGUCCUAGCCUUGAAAUCAGCUAUUAAUUAUCUUACACAUGCAAGUCUCCGCACACCCGUGAAAACGCCCUUUCACCCCUCAUGGGGUAAGGAGCUGAUAUCAGGCACAAAAUUGCCCAAAACAUCUAGCCACGCCACACCCACAAGGGCACUCAGCAGUGAUUAACUUUAAGAAUAAACGUCAGUUUGAUUUAGUCAAAUUAAUAUAGAGCCGGCCAAUCUGGUGCCAGCCGCCGCGGUUACACCACGGGGCUCAAACUGAUUUCUUUCGGCGUAAAGCGUGAUUAAAGAAACUACUUCUAGGGUUAAACUUAAAUUGAACUGUUAUACGUUUAUUUUAAGGAAAUUCUAAAUCGAAAGUUACCCCAUCACACCAACUUGAAUUCACGACAAUUAGGGAACAAACUGGGAUUAGAUACCCCACUAUGCCUAAUCGUAAACUUUAACUUACACCAUCAUCGCCAGAGGACUACGAGCAAAGCUUAAAACCCAAAGGACUUGACGGUACCCCACACCCUUCUAGAGGAGCCUGUCCCAUAAUCGAUAACCCGCGUUCAACCUCACCAUUUUUAGCUAAUCAGCCUGUAUACUUCCGUCGUCAGCCUACCGCAUGAGCGAAUUAGUAAGCCUAAUGUCACCCUCAAUACGUCAGGUCAAAGUGCAGCCUAUAAAAUGGCAGGAGAUGGGCUACACUUUCUAGGAUAGAAAACACAAAAGAAUGUAUGAAACUACACUCUGAAGGCGGAUUUAAUAGUAAGUGGAAAUAGAACAUUCCCCUUAACCUGGCACUGGGGUGUGUACACACCGCCCGUCACCCUCUUCAAUAAAAAUAUCUUAGUACUUAACAACCCACACAUCUACAGAAGAGGCAAGUCGUAACAUGGUAAGUAUACCGGAAGGUGUGCUUGGAAACAGAACAUAGCU
RNAcentral lists this non-coding RNA (943 nucleotides) under Pristimantis walkeri (Walker's robber frog). Its description in RNAcentral is "partial 12S ribosomal RNA". It matches the Rfam family "Bacterial small subunit ribosomal RNA". Lineage: Eukaryota; Metazoa; Chordata; Amphibia; Anura; Strabomantidae. The record is from RNAcentral.